Molecule: ribosomal RNA, 863 nt
Filed under: Chaetomium rectangulare
Lineage: Eukaryota; Fungi; Ascomycota; Sordariomycetes; Sordariales; Chaetomiaceae
Description: LSU rRNA
Rfam family: Eukaryotic large subunit ribosomal RNA
Source: RNAcentral
AUAUCAAUAAGCGGAGGAAAAGAAACCAACAGGGAUUGCCCUAGUAACGGCGAGUGAAGCGGCAACAGCUCAAAUUUGAAAUCUGGCUUCGGCCCGAGUUGUAAUUUGCAGAGGAAGCUUUAGGCGCGGCACCUUCUGAGUCCCCUGGAACGGGGCGCCAUAGAGGGUGAGAGCCCCGUAUAGUUGGAUGCCUAGCCUGUGUAAAGCUCCUUCGACGAGUCGAGUAGUUUGGGAAUGCUGCUCAAAAUGGGAGGUAAAUUUCUUCUAAAGCUAAAUACCGGCCAGAGACCGAUAGCGCACAAGUAGAGUGAUCGAAAGAUGAAAAGCACUUUGAAAAGAGGGUUAAAUAGCACGUGAAAUUGUUGAAAGGGAAGCGCUUGUGACCAGACUUGCGCCGGGCAGAUCAUCCGGUGUUCUCACCGGUGCACUCUGCCCGGCUCAGGCCAGCAUCGGUUCUCGCGGGGGGAUAAAGGCCCUGGGAACGUAGCUCCUCCGGGAGUGUUAUAGCCCGGGGCGUAAUGCCCUCGCGGGGACCGAGGUUCGCGCAUCUGCAAGGAUGCUGGCGUAAUGGUCAUCAGCGACCCGUCUUGAAACACGGACCAAGGAGUCAAGGUUUUGCGCGAGUGUUUGGGUGUAAAACCCGCACGCGUAAUGAAAGUGAACGUAGGUGAGAGCUUCGGCGCAUCAUCGACCGAUCCUGAUGUUUUCGGAUGGAUUUGAGUAGGAGCGUUAAGCCUUGGACCCGAAAGAUGGUGAACUAUGCUUGGAUAGGGUGAAGCCAGAGGAAACUCUGGUGGAGGCUCGCAGCGGUUCUGACGUGCAAAUCGAUCGUCAAAUCUGAGCAUGGGGGCGAAAGACUAAUC